GUUAGGGGAAGGUUUGAAGGCCCUGGAGGUGACAGCAGCCCCACAGAAAGAUUGAUAUGUCAACUACCCUGCACCCCUGAGAGUUCGCAGAGACUGAGCUCUCAACUAAGAUCAAUCACACGGCUUAUCCGAGUCUGGUCCCCGGACCCUGACACAUCUGUAGCAGUAGGAUGCGCCUAAUCCUGCAAGGACUCGAUGCACCAGGGUGGGGGUUAGAGAGACAGGAGCUUCACUCUCAGAGCAAAAGGGGAAGAGAAAGGGAGGACUGAGAGGGAGAGAAACAUGUAGGAUAUAAACAAACAAACAAACAAAUACCUUAUAGAUUGCAUUUCCACUUACAAAGAACUGAGUCUUGGAGGCCAGAUUGUUUCCAAUUGUGUGUGUCUGGAGGAGUCAGAUGAUGUCUACUCUCAGUUUCCUCUGACUUGACCUGCUUCUCAGGGCAAGGGCCAAUCUUAUUUGACAAGGAAGCCCCUUUAGUUCUUAUGUGCACAUAGAAGGAGUCUACAUUGAAGGGGAUUACACUUUCAAAGGUGUCCUGAUCUCUGAUCCUCCCAUAGUAACACUAACAUGUUAAGGAAACUGCUACAAACCAAUGCCUUGGCUGGAUCUACCUGGGUUUUGAACACUGGGUUCUUUCUUAGCUAUGCUGCUCCUAAAUUCCAGGCUGACAAAACUCAGCAGAAAAAGUAAAACCCACAUGGAAGAAACAGUAGAUGGCAAAGGGAGACAAAGUCUCAGCAGGGUAGUCAUGGUCUCUGGCCCCUUCUCACAGAUACAGGAAAAGCCCUGGGACACGAACUCUCCCCAAGGCUGCCUCCUUGUCUAAGCAAAGACUUUCAUGACUGAGAGCAGAUCAGUCUCUGCAUAGGUAGACUCUAAGUGUUGUCUUAAACGUCCCACAUCCAAGCAUUAACUCAAGCAGAAAUGAGUGUCUUCCUCCCAACAGAGUAAUUACCAAUUUCCUAUUAUCUCAUAACACCACAAAGAAUGAUUUCCUCUAACACUUCUGUCCUUAAAAGUCAUAUUCCUUACAACUGUUCAUCCCCAAGACUCCAUUUUAUAUAUAAAAAUUUGCAAAAUCAGCACCAUCUUUUGUUUUAAAAAUAUUUAGUGUUGUGUUAAACGGAUCCAUCAUUUUAGAGCCCAAGGAUUGUAGAUCUCCACAGUACAAAUGCAAGUUAAACAGAUGCGGUCCUCCAUGGGCUGACUUUUAAAUUUAUCUACAUAAUCUAGAGAUGUUUGUGUGUACAUUCACCCUGUUUUCCUUUCCUGUUAGCUUGCUGCCUCUUAACUUGUCUUGAAUACUUUAAGAAGCUGCUCUGGGAACCUUCUCUCCAGUAGAUUAGAAUGCCUUAAAGAUAAAUUUCCUAUCUAACUGGGUUGAGAGAGAUGCCCAAGGUGUCUUCGGCAUCCUCAUUUGGUACAGCCAACCAAAUCCUCUUUUGUACCUAAUAAACAUGGUCUGUAAUUUAUAGACAGGUUAUGAACUGUUAGAGCUCUGCUUCCUGUGUAGACGCCAAGCACUGGAAAUUCUAUUUUAAGAGAAUUAAAGAACUGUAUUAUAAAAUGUUCAUGGUAUGAAAAGUACAGAAUUAAGACGAUUUCAACAAUUACAGUGUCCUACUUAAAUUAUGUUGAAAGGAAAUCCGGGGACAGUUUGAAGUGUGGAGAAGCAGGCCGGGCCUUUCAAUCUCCUUUAGAGACACACGCAGCAAAACGAGAAGCCCUUGCCUUGCCCUCAGCAAACCUUUCCCUCCUAAGCUCAAUCUCCAUAUUCUUUAAACUUCUUAAAAUUAGUCAAAUGAUUCCAUUUGUAUUUUUUCUGCUCUAAAUUUAUUUGAGGCAGAAUCAAAUGUAUACCAACCCAUCUUCCUUGCUGUUUCAUGGAAGCCAGUUCCAUAAUUCUCCAUGAGAAGAAAGCCAAUGUGUCUAUCAAAGAGGCUUUAUGUUAAAUGUAAAUUUCUGUACUUUCAGUUAAAAGGGAAGAUUAUUUAAUUCACUUCAAUUUAACAAGCAUUUACAGAGUAGUGGCAGGCAUUGGUCACGAAAAGGAAUAAAAAAGAAUACAGAAUGCUUGGAUGUUUCCUAUGGACUGAGGGAAACAGGUGCAUCCACCAUGAGUUCAGGACAGGGCAGAACUCGGGCUACACCAGAAGCACACACAAAGGGGAGGUGUGCUGAUUGAUGUGUGUCUAGGGACUCUAACAGAGGUUUCAGAGAUGAGGCAAGGUGACAUUGGGACUGGCUAAAGGAUGAAGUCUGUGGCACGGUAUCCUAUGGGAAAGAAACCCGUAGGAAAAAAACAAUAUACCACAUGACUCCACAUGAUUUGCAGAUCCUGGCACACAUAAAAAGAUGGGGCCCCAACUCAAUACCAUUAGGAACUUCAGUGAUGAUAACUGGGUAAGCCUGUUAUCCAGCAAGACUCAGGGAAGCCAACCUGUAUGUCAAUGGCCACCUGCAGCAACUGGAGGACCAGAGACCUAGUAAGGUGGCACCUAGUAAUCUUAAUCAUCAAAUGUGUCAGGGGGCCGAGAUUAUAGGGGGUUCUCCCGCUAAGAGAAAGCGUCCAUUGCUGAUGACAGGGUACAGGACAUACUAAGUACUUUGCCAAGGUAGACAGAAGCUAAGCAUUUAACAAACACAUCUGAGAAUAUGAGUCCCUUUCUCCUCCACAGGCUGACACUAUUUAAGUUGAUACAGAAAGUAUUGUUUUUCCUGUGAGUUGAAUUCUUUUCCGGGAGGGAGUGGAGGGAGCUUUGAAGGGUCUGCUGUCCCCAGUUUGCCUCUAACUCAACAGACAAAAAAAGGGAGUUAUAGUGCAAAUAAAGAAACAUAUAUUUAGAUUUUCGGUGUGACAUAAUAUUCCCAAUUUCCCUCCAUUUUCCCUCUUUUAACAAAAAGAAACUGUAGGCAAGGCCUUGAUAAGGCCUCCACAUGAGCAAGAAGGCAAUGGACUCAGAUCUAUUUACAUUUUGCCUGCAUUUAUUUUUACAGUCCAGUGGUGAGUGGGGCUAUCCAGCUCCCACUUCCGCCUGAAGCUACUUUAAGCUUCAAACCACUGCCCUGAGCAUUGGAACAGAGUCUCUGCGGUCCCCAUAGAAAUCCUGUGGAAUGCACUUUCCUGCUGGUUUGUUACACUGCUUCAGCGCCUACUCCAUUUUGCAGGGCAACAAAACUCCACACCACAGUCCAACCAGAAAGACUUUAACCCUUCUCUUCUGUAAUUAAAGUUCCUAUUUACAUGGAAAGGUUGUUUGUGAAUAAUCCCUGCAGGGAGUCAACCUAACAAAAAUCAAUCACCCAGCACUCUCACAAGGCCAAGCCCAGAGCUUGGCACCUAGCACAAUACCUAUUUGUUGAACAAGUGAUGAAUGCUGACCCAUUUAUCUGGAUUGAUUUUCUUCUGCCCCAAACCUAACUUUCUACUCUGUUAAAUUCGACUCUCUUAUCCUUUUAGAGAAUUCUUCAAUACAUUUUUCCCCUCCACAUCUUAAACUAUUCCCUGAAGAAUUCUCAUGGCUCUAUAUCAAAAGUCCUAUUAAAUUCUUAAUGGGAUAACCAUGAAAAAGGAAAUUAUUGUAUUAAUUCUCUGUCACCAGCACAGGACUGAGUGAGCUGACCGCUGGCGGAGCAUUCGGGUUCUGAGUCAGGAGCCUGGGCACAUUCAUGCUCACACAGUGGACGCGCAUUAAAGUGAGAGCCUGCACUUUUCACGUGAGAGAGAACACAUGGCAUUUGUCCAUCCGAGCCUGGCUCACCUCACAUACAGCUCUGGGCGUGCAGCCAAGUUAUUCAACCUCCCUGCACCUGGGAUCCCUCACGGGCUCACUGAGGAGUGAAUUCAGUCUCUGGAAGUACUGAGUACAGCACCUGACCUGUGGCACAUUCUCAGUGGAAGUACUGAGUACAGCACCUGACCUGUGGCACAUUCUCAGUGGAAGUACUGAGUACAGCACCUGACCUGUGGCACAUUCUCAGUAAGCACUACUUUUUACCACCAAUCUACUAGAAGUAAUAAUCACUAAUUUAACACGAACGUUAAUAUUUUAAUGUGCCAAUUUAUAUUCAUUCAAUAUGAAUUUAGAAGAUUAUGGAAUAAUAUGUGACUGAUAAAAAUUUUCUUCUUUGAAGAAAGCUCUAUUUAAGAACAUGAGAUGGUUACAUAAAGGAAAUCGUUUUAGUUUACCUCGUGUUCCUCGGUAAAUUCUCUGUCGUGCCUUCCAGAAAACGAAACUCCUUGACAAAGCUUAAAUGUUUAUAAAACUUCCUUGAAAACUUACACAUUUUCCCAUUUUUUUCUGACAGAAUGUGAAGAGACUGUUUCAGUGCUUUCCUCCCACAACUGUCCGCUUCCAAAAGACAAAUUGCAGAAGGCAGGGAUUUUUUUAUUUUUACAAGUCUCAAAUUAAAACCUCACAUUAAACAUUAUUAUCAUUUGGAAAUAUUUGGCCACGCAAAAGCCAACAGACAAGUUCGUUCUAAAAGGCAUUCUGUCAUCUCUUUAGUGGCCACGGCCCUGCCAGCUUCCUGGUGCUCUUAUGACAGUACCAUCAGUCAAUUCAAUCGGAGAAAAUCUAAAGUACGAUGGUAAUUUUCCCCCACAUUUUUUCUCUACUCCGUCAGUCCAAGUCACCUGCUGAAAGCCUUGAUGUGGAACAGCUCGGUAUUCGCUCUGAAGUCAGUACCAGUCCAAAGCUAAAUGCCUGCAUAUUCUUAGCAGAGACUUAACAGCACGUGAGCCCAGACGUGGAACAGACAUGGGGGCACAUUACUUAAGAUCCCCUGUUAUAAAGUCAUUUGCACUGACCCUGAGUAUUGCUACACUGAUGUUAGCCGGGAAAGGAAAAUGAGUUCCUGAAUAUAGGAACAAGUGUUUCAGCGUGAAGUUAACUGAGAACUAUUAAAAAACAAACAAUAAACUCGACUCCAUACCCAGCACAUUAAGUAGCUGACACGUCUAACAGGGUCUCGGCAGAAAGACAUAGGACAUUUUAAAAGAACGCUUCUGUGCCUUUAAAUUUCAACUUGAGUUUUGCAGUAGUGUGCACAUUUUUUUCACAUGGCCCCUUAAAGAGAAAGUAAAGUGCAAUCACCUCUGGUAUCUUCCGUGCUCUGGCACCUCGCCUGGCCUGCCGAGCCCAGCAGGUAGGUCUGUAAGCACUGAGGCUGCCAGGAUGAAAGGCAUUUGCUACAUCUACUCAGAGGGUCGUCAAUGGACAACCUGUACAAGAUUUAUGCUUUAAAUAAUAAAUGAACUAAACACCUUGAGGUAAUUGGCUGUGUGAAGCUUCACAAUAGCCCAGAUAGCUUGUCUGAAAAAAGCCAAAGAAGACUGAAUAAUGGAUGCGGGGCGUGGGGGAUUUGUGCCAAGCCAACACUGCACAGCUCCUUUUUAAACAAGAGUGGUCUGGGACUCCAGUUUCCAGGAUCCUAAGAAGUGCUGACCAGACUUUCUCUUUCUGUGUCCACAGUAAUGACUUCAAACGUUCUUACUUUUUCAUGAUUUCCAAUGGAUGCUGGCACGUGACAGCCAGUUCUUUUAGCUUAAUAUGUGGCCCGCUGGGUGAUGCAAUCUUGUCCAAAGUCUACAGCAUACUCAAUUCUACCUGCACUUUAUAAAGAUAAGAAAGACCAGCAUCUGAGAUGUCUGGGGGUGGGUACCUCUGAUGCAGUACAGAUUUAGUAGCAACUGCCACCAUGAGGACUAACUGAUGGCCUGUCAACCAGCAUUCAAGACAUGUCCACUGCAGGAUUCUGUAAGCAGAGAGCCCCUUCCUGUGAGAAAAGCACAUCAAGAUAUUCAUAUGAACAAAUUAUGGCAGCUUGGUGGAAAAUUUAAAUGGGGAAGAGAUGAAGGCCAGAUAACUGCAGGACAGCCAUGGUUUGAGAAAUGCCGAACACUGAGAAACUGAGCCCUGAAGAAAGGACCUACAAGGACGAGCUGAUGACCAAUGGAGAAGGAAAAGUCUCCUUUUCAACCAGUCUACACAACACGCUUUCACUAGUCACUACUCACUUCAGCUAGGGCAUUUUUAUAGGUAAGUCGGCGUCUUUAUUCUUUAGACCAUGUGGAAGAAAGAAUGCAGAUAAAAUUCAAUCAAUAAUUUCUUAUUCAAUUACUGUAAGAAUGUUUUCACGUAUUGCAGAGAUAGACCAUUGUGCCCACCUUUAAAAAGCAAAGAAAAGAAAACCUGAUGUACAAAAAAUUUAACUUGCUCCACAUAUAAAUUAGGAAGUGAUUAUUUGCAUUACAAAAGAUCAUACUUUUCAAAAAAAAAGAUAAGUAACAAGAUUCCUUGAAAUAUCAAGUCCCUUGGUAGAACAAAAUUUUAAUCCAAUUUACAAAGGAAACAGGGAAGCACAAACUUCAUGUGGGCCUAACUCCUACUUCGAAAUCUUUACUGGCCUGUGGCCUCCCUUUCUGCUUUUUCCUGCACCUCUGUGCAGGAUAUUAUGUAAGAAAGCGCCCACUCUGCCAUAGUAAUGGGGUAUGGAUGUAGCAGAGAUGUCUGGGUUGCUGGCGGAAGUGCCAGAGAUUAUCUGAGGUACUGGCGGAAGUGGCAGAGAUUAUCUGAGGUACUGGCGGAAGUGCCAGAGACUGGCUGGGGUGCUAGAGUGCAGAGGAGAUUGAGAUGAAGUAGUUUAGAGUCUCCGGCAUGUCUUAACGCAAGGCUUCAUCUUCUGCCUGCCUUCCUAUAUUUUGAGCUCUUCACAAAGGGAUCGUUUUGUUGUUGCUGUUUAUAACUCAGUCCCUGGGGCCAGGCCUGGCAUCUGAUUCACAGAAUUGUGCAAACCAAUAGUGCUGGAAAGAGAUUUCUAGGUGCCACCGUGUAACUGAGUUUCUGGCCUCACUGAGGAACUGCUAUCUCAUUCAGUUCUCCGUGCAUAGUGAUGGAAUGUGGACAGUGUGGCCGUGCGCUCAGGAGUCAAGUACAGUGGCUGAGCUCACACACUGCAAAGUGGUGGGGAACAGGAAUUCACAUCUGCAGGACACUCUGAACUGCAGACAAUCUGUAAGCACAGCGGUAAGAUGCUCACAAUGUAACAUGAGCAAGAGGCAUUACUUACAGCCACAGAACAGAUGCGGUUCUAUUCCAUCUCGUUCUAGAGACAUAGUCAGUAUUUCUGAAAAGAACACACUUUCCACAUACGGGCCAUCCAGAAUCUUCUCCUGGUGAUUCACUGACAGAGCAAAGCCCUUGAAGACGGGGUAUUUUUUUUUUUUUUGAAAAAGCACACUACAGCAUCUUUUCAUUUUGGUCAUUCUUCUAUACUUUUGACAAUAAUUUAAAAACAGUAAGCAUUCAAGUUCCCAGUCCCAUGAGCUCAGGGUUGUACCCGGGCUCUGCCACUUUUCAGUCAUGUGGUCUCUAAGAGGGACACUGAGAGCUGGCAGAUUGAAAAGGCUGAGGGCAGUGGGGAAAAGAAAAGCACAGAGCAAUGGGGGAGAGAGAACCUGGACUGUACACAGCAAAGCGCUCACAAGCACUGCAGAUUAUCAAACUCCCUCGGGGGAGCUGUGGUGAGCAGUUAUCCCACGACAUUCUAGAACAAGACAAAGAACUCCAAGAGGAUUGGGAUGAAGAAGAGAAAAUAGAUCUGCCUUUUGAUUGACACCUCAUGCAAUGGAAAGGGUAAACAGGAAAUCCACAGCAAAAGUAAAACGUAUUCUAGAAAAACUACAGAAAUCUUCAAAGCAAGACUUCUACAAUGAAUCUAAGUUUGCACAUCUAAGAUUAACAUGAUCCAAACCAAGAAAAUCUUUUGUCAUAAUUCUCCUUCUUAAUUCUGUUGUGAAACCCUGAGCUAUUCAUUUUUCUGGGAAAGGUUUGGUGCUUCCUCAAGAAUAUCCAUUGGGGCUUUUUCCUGAAAGACUAGAAGAGAUUCAUCUUCCUAAAUGUGUUAACAAAGAUCCUCUCACAUGUCCACACGUACAUACCCAGGGAAGUCUUUCAACCCAAGCCCCAUGGGGUGCUAAUCAAACUGCAGUGUUCUGUAGACCAAACCAUGAUGGCUCUUCUACCAGAUAUCUCUGGUUGGCACUGGCAGCUAUCCUGCAACUUUAAACUUAAAUGAGAGGCCCAGAAAAAAAACAGGCUCGGCAAUGAUUUAAUUGAAGGAAAUUUUUGUGAGCCAGGAAUUCUGUAACAAGCCAAGUUAUAAUUCAAGUAUGAUAAUAAUAAUAAAAAUAAAAUAUUCAAGGGCUCAGAAAAAUCUAACACAUAAAUCACUUAAAACCUCUUCAAGAUGUACUCCAGUUAACUGAGAAAUGAAUCAAACUGGAGAUGCCGUGAUGUGACAGACUUCAGAUUGAAAGUUAGACACAAGUGACUCUGAGCUGAUGAAAAUGCUGCAGAAGUACAUUUAGAUUUUAAUAUUGUAAAAUAAUUUGGUAGUAAUAAACUAAGUUUAAAACAAUAGGCUUUGCCAAAAAGCACAUUUUUUUAAUACUGCAGGUUUCACUUAGGGACAAUCUAAAGACAAAUAUCCCAAACAAAGAUUACGAUGCCUGUUUUCACGUGUCACCUUGAUUAGGUCAAUAAGUACCCAGGUUCUUGGCCUAACAUUAUAUUGAAGUGUUUCUGUGACAUUCUUUUAGGAUAAUGUGAAAUUUAAAAUAGUGAGAAAAGAAGAGUAUACUGCUUAAUGUGGUUGCCACUUAAGCAAUUCCUGGAAGAACUGAAAAGAACAAAAAGGCAGGCAUACUCAGACUCCACAAAAAACAGCCCCAGUUCUUCCUGUCAGCCAAGCUCUAACAGGACAUCAACCCCACUCCAUGCAGUUCUGAAACCACAGGACAACCCCAGCCCCCUGUAGGUAUGUCUUAAAAGAUCAUCAUUCUUUAUUAGGGAAGUACAAAUAAAAUUAUAAUUGGGUACCAUUUUCUUCACAGCAGGACGAUGGAUAGUGUUAAGGAGUUUCUUAUAAAAAGAAAACCUGGAAUAUAGGUGUUAAGAAUGAAAAUAAACUAUGAAUAUUUGGCAUGGAUAUAAAAAGGUAUGUAGUAUAUUCAUAGUUUUACUGAGAUGUUAGUACAUACAUGGUGUUCUUACGUUCAAUAGCAAUGAAGAAAUGCCAAGAGGAAAAUCAGCAGAUCUAAGUUUGCAAAAAGGAAAAGAAACUUAUUUGUGUUGUAAAAUAACAACCCAAAAAGGAAAUAUAGGAAACAGUAAAGUGUCAAAUGAUCUACCACACAUGGUUCACAGUAAUCAAGUAAUGUCACUGAAUUGUUAGCAGCAAAUCAGGUAGUGUCUAUUAAAUGGCAUAAAUAAAAAUAUAAAACCAUGUAUUCAACACAAUGUGCCAUAUGUGUUCUAAAGAAAUACGGGUUUCACUUUCAAAUGAAGAAAUAUACUAAAACUGGCCUUGGAAAAAAUGGAGUUAAACUUGCAUUUUCUCACAAGGCUAAGGAGGUGAUUUGCCUUGCAAGAGACUCUCAUACACAUGAGACACCUCUGAACACAUACACUUAUAACAUGAUACCAUCCCCAUAGAAUAACCUUAACAAAAUAUUCCUGCAAAAUUUAUAUAAAAUGCUCACAAGUUCAAUAUAUAUAUAUGUGUGUGU
Molecule: small RNA, 9574 nt
Filed under: Rattus norvegicus (Norway rat)
Lineage: Eukaryota; Metazoa; Chordata; Mammalia; Rodentia; Muridae
Description: uncharacterized LOC102547735
Source: RNAcentral